Molecule: ribosomal RNA, 639 nt
Filed under: uncultured Ilumatobacter sp.
Lineage: Bacteria; Bacillati; Actinomycetota; Acidimicrobiia; Acidimicrobiales; Ilumatobacteraceae
Description: bacterial SSU rRNA
Rfam family: Bacterial small subunit ribosomal RNA
Source: RNAcentral
CGCGGCCUAUCAGCUUGUUGGUGAGGUAACGGCUCACCAAGGCAUCGACGGGUAGCUGGUCUGAGAGGAUGAUCAGCCACACUGGGACUGAGACACGGCCCAGACUCCUACGGGAGGCAGCAGUGGGGAAUAUUGCACAAUGGGCGCAAGCCUGAUGCAGCAACGCCGCGUGCGGGAUGAAGGCCCUAGGGUUGUAAACCGCUUUCAGCAGGGAAGAAAAUGACGGUACCUGCAGAAGAAGGUGCGGCCAACUACGUGCCAGCAGCCGCGGUGACACGUAGGCACCAAGCGUUGUCCGGAUUUAUUGGGCGUAAAGAGCUCGUAGGCGGUUCAGUUAGUCGGGUGUGAAAACUCUGGGCUCAACCCAGAGACGCCACCCGAUACUGCUGUGACUAGAGUACGGUAGGGGAGCGGGGAAUUCCUGGUGUAGCGGUGAAAUGCGCAGAUAUCAGGAGGAACACCAGUGGCGAAGGCGCCGCUCUGGGCCGUAACUGACGCUGAGGAGCGAAAGCAUGGGUAGCAAACAGGAUUAGAUACCCUGGUAGUCCAUGCCGUAAACGUUGGGCACUAGGUGUGGGUCUCAACCAACGAGAUCCGCGCCGUCGCUAACGCAUUAAGUGCCCCGCCUGGGGAGUACGG